GUUAUUUUUUUAGAAAGGUCAUUCUCUAUAAUAACACACAAGAAGAGCUAGACAAAGAGAUAGACUACAUCUAUAGAACAGGUAGUGCACACAGUUAUACUAAGAGUCUUUUGAAGAACGUCUAUAAAAAAGUACAGCAAUCACUGAUGGUUAAAAACACAGUAGAAACAAAGGAUGAGAUAGAAUAUAAAGCGAUACCGUAUGCAAUGAGCUACUCUAGAGUAAUUAAGAAUGUAGCACAAAAAAUGAAUAAAAGAUUAACUUACAGGAGGUAUUCUAUCUUAUAUAGUCGGAUCAGAAAUGAAAAAGACAAGUUAAAGAAUAACCAGAAAGCAGAAGUAUACAAGAUUCCAGUCUAGAAUAGCACCACAAAUGAGGACCAAAUAU
Molecule: long non-coding RNA, 387 nt
Filed under: Androctonus crassicauda
Lineage: Eukaryota; Metazoa; Arthropoda; Arachnida; Scorpiones; Buthidae
Source: RNAcentral